Molecule: ribosomal RNA, 253 nt
Filed under: uncultured bacterium
Lineage: Bacteria
Description: partial 16S ribosomal RNA
Rfam family: Bacterial small subunit ribosomal RNA
Source: RNAcentral
CACGUAGGGGGCGAGCGUUGUCCGGCAUUAUUGGGCGUAAAGAGCUCGUAGGCGGUUUGUCGCGUCUGCUGUGAAAACCUAAGGCUCAACCUUGGGCUUGCAGUGGGUACGGGCAGACUAGAGUGCGGUAGGGGUGACUGGAAUUCCUGGUGUAGCGGUGGAAUGCGCAGAUAUCAGGAGGAACACCGAUGGCGAAGGCAGGUCACUGGGCCGCAACUGACGCUGAGGAGCGAAAGCAUGGGGAGCGAACAGG